Molecule: long non-coding RNA, 237 nt
Filed under: Capsicum annuum
Lineage: Eukaryota; Viridiplantae; Streptophyta; Magnoliopsida; Solanales; Solanaceae
Description: long non-coding RNA (CANN_LNC005613)
Source: RNAcentral
AAGAAUGCAUAGUAGACGACCAUCAGGAUGAAAGUGUAGGGUCCAAAGUGGAAACACUGAGAGUUCAGUUAGCAGAUUUGUUCAAGACGGUAGAAAGGUGUCAGAAUAAUCUUUCCAAGUGCACUCCUCAUGAAGCAGGAAUACGGGCCCGAAGCUUCUUCCCCGGUAUCAGGGUGUCGUUACAGGAUAUGCUACAAAGUUUAAAUGGGAGAAAGAGAACUUCAGAGGCAGGUCCAU